GAUGAACGCUGGCGGCGUGCCUAAUACAUGCAAGUCGAGCGAACGGACGAGAAGCUUGCUUCUCUGAUGUUAGCGGCGGACGGGUGAGUAACACGUGGAUAACCUACCUAUAAGACUGGGAUAACUUCGGGAAACCGUAGCUAAUACCGGAUAAUAUUUUGAACCGCAUGGUUCAAAAGUGAAAGACGGUCUUGCUGUCACUUAUAGAUGGAUCCGCGCUGCAUUAGCUAGUUGGUAAGGUAACGGCUUACCAAGGCAACGAUGCAUAGCCGACCUGAGAGGGUGAUCGGCCACACUGGAACUGAGACACGGUCCAGACUCCUACGGGAGGCAGCAGUAGGGAAUCUUCCGCAAUGGGCGAAAGCCUGACGGAGCAACGCCGCGUGAGUGAUGAAGGUCUUCGGAUCGUAAAACUCUGUUAUUAGGGAAGAACAUAUGUGUAAGUAACUGUGCACAUCUUGACGGUACCUAAUCAGAAAGCCACGGCUAACUACGUGCCAGCAGCCGCGGUAAUACGUANGUGGCAAGCGUUAUCCGGAAUUAUUGGGCGUAAAGCGCGCGUAGGCGGUUUUUUAGUCUGAUGUGAAAGCCCACGGCUCAACCGUGGAGGGUCAUUGGAAACUGGAAAACUUGAGUGCAGAAGAGGAAAGUGGAAUUCCAUGUGUAGCGGUGAAAUGCGCAGAGAUAUGGAGGAACACCAGUGGCGAAGGCGACUUUCUGGUCUGUAACUGACGCUGAUGUGCGAAAGCGUGGGGAUCAAACAGGAUUAGAUACCCUGGUAGUCCACGCCGUAAACGAUGAGUGCUAAGUGUUAGGGGGUUUCCGCCCCUUAGUGCUGCAGCUAACGCAUUAAGCACUCCGCCUGGGGAGUACGACCGCAAGGUUGAAACUCAAAGGAAUUGACGGGGACCCGCACAAGCGGUGGAGCAUGUGGUUUAAUUCGAAGCAACGCGAAGAACCUUACCAAAUCUUGACAUCCUUUGACAACUCUAGAGAUAGAGCCUUCCCCUUCGGGGGACAAAGUGACAGGUGGUGCAUGGUUGUCGUCAGCUCGUGUCGUGAGAUGUUGGGUUAAGUCCCGCAACGAGCGCAACCCUUAAGCUUAGUUGCCAUCAUUAAGUUGGGCACUCUAAGUUGACUGCCGGUGACAAACCGGAGGAAGGUGGGGAUGACGUCAAAUCAUCAUGCCCCUUAUGAUUUGGGCUACACACGUGCUACAAUGGACAAUACAAAGGGCAGCGAAACCGCGAGGUCAAGCAAAUCCCAUAAAGUUGUUCUCAGUUCGGAUUGUAGUCUGCAACUCGACUACAUGAAGCUGGAAUCGCUAGUAAUCGUAGAUCAGCAUGCUACGGUGAAUACGUUCCCGGGUCU
Molecule: ribosomal RNA, 1371 nt
Filed under: uncultured bacterium
Lineage: Bacteria
Description: bacterial SSU rRNA
Rfam family: Bacterial small subunit ribosomal RNA
Source: RNAcentral